AGGGAUGUAGCUCAGUGGCAGAGUGCUUGCCUAGUACAUCCAAGACUCUGGGUUCAAUCCCCAGCAUCAUCA
Molecule: non-coding RNA, 72 nt
Organism: Mus musculus (house mouse)
Lineage: Eukaryota; Metazoa; Chordata; Mammalia; Rodentia; Muridae
Source: Rfam